Molecule: ribosomal RNA, 463 nt
Filed under: uncultured bacterium
Lineage: Bacteria
Description: bacterial SSU rRNA
Rfam family: Bacterial small subunit ribosomal RNA
Source: RNAcentral
UCCAGACUCCUACGGGAGGCAGCAGUGAGGAAUAUUGGUCGAUGGGCGAGAGCCUGAACCAGCCAAGUCGCGUGAGGGAGUACUGCCCUAUGGGUUGUAAACCUCUUUUGUCGGGGAGCAAAAGCCGGACGUGUCCGGCUGUGAGAGUACCCGAAGAAAAAGCAUCGGCUAACUCCGUGCCAGCAGCCGCGGUAAUACGGAGGAUGCGAGCGUUAUCCGGAUUUAUUGGGUUUAAAGGGUGCGUAGGCGGUAUUUUAAGUUAGUGGUAAAACGUCGGGGCUUCACCUUGAUUGGCCAUUAAAACUGGAGUACUAGAGUACAGACGAGGUAGGCGGAAUAAGUUAAGUAGCGGUGAAAUGCUUAGAUAUAACUUAGAACCCCGAUAGCGAAGGCAGCUUACCAGACUGUUACUGACGCUGAAGCACGAGAGCGUGGGUAGCGAACAGGAUUAGAUACCCGAGUA